GAAAUGCGAUAAGUAAUGUGAAUUGCAGAAUUCAGUGAAUCAUCGAAUCUUUGAACGCACAUUGCGCCCGCCAGUAUUCUGGCGGGCAUGCCUGUUCGAGCGUCAUUUCAACCAUCAAGCUUUAAGCUUGUGUUGGAGCCCUGCGGCUGUCCGCAGGGCUCCAACACAAGCUUAAAGCUUGAUGGUUGACCUCGGAUCAGGUAGGACUACCCGCUGAACUUAA
Molecule: unclassified non-coding RNA, 223 nt
Filed under: uncultured Sordariales
Lineage: Eukaryota; Fungi; Ascomycota; Sordariomycetes; Sordariales
Description: sequence contains ITS1
Rfam family: 5.8S ribosomal RNA (bases 1-105)
Source: RNAcentral